AGUGAACGCUGGCGGUAGGCCUAACACAUGCAAGUCGAACGGCAGCACAGAGGAGCUUGCUCCUUGGGUGGCGAGUGGCGGACGGGUGAGGAAUACAUCGGAAUCUACUCUGUCGUGGGGGAUAACGUAGGGAAACUUACGCUAAUACCGCAUACGACCUACGGGUGAAAGCAGGGGACCUUCGGGCCUUGCGCGAUUGAAUGAGCCGAUGUCGGAUUAGCUAGUUGGCGGGGUAAAGGCCCACCAAGGCGACGAUCCGUAGCUGGUCUGAGAAGAUGAUCAGCCACACUGGAACUGAGACACGGUCCAGACUCCUACGGGAGGCAGCAGUGGGGAAUAUUGGACAAUGGGCGCAAGCCUGAUCCAGCCAUACCGCGUGGGUGAAGAAGGCCUUCGGGUUGUAAAGCCCUUUUGUUGGGAGAGAAAUCCAGCUGGCUAAUACCCGGUUGGGAUGACGGUACCCAAAGAAUAAGCACCGGCUAACUUCGUGCCAGCCGCCGCGGUAA
RNAcentral lists this ribosomal RNA (506 nucleotides) under uncultured bacterium. Its description in RNAcentral is "partial 16S ribosomal RNA". It matches the Rfam family "Bacterial small subunit ribosomal RNA", at positions 29 to 523 of the family's 1533-position model. The record is from RNAcentral.